UCCAGCUUAUCACCGGCAGUCCCCUUAGAGUCCCCGACAUUACUCGCUGGCAACUAGUCCCAAGGGUUGCGCUCGUUGCGGGACUUAACCCAACAUCUCACGACACGAGCUGACGACAGCCAUGCAGCACCUGUGCACGAGCUCCGAAGAGCCCCGCAGGUUUCCCCACGAGUUCCCGUGCAUGUCAAGCCCAGGUAAGGUUCUUCGCGUUGCGUCGAAUUAAACCACAUGCUCCACCGCUUGUGCGGGCCCCCGUCAAUUCCUUUGAGUUUCAGCCUUGCGGCCGUACUCCCCAGGCGGGGCACUUACUGCGUUAGCGACGACACUCAGAGGGUCGCUCCCCCAAGCAUCUAGUGCCCAUCGUUUACGGUGUGGACUAC
RNAcentral lists this unclassified non-coding RNA (380 nucleotides) under uncultured Gemmatimonadaceae bacterium. RNAcentral's name for it is "contains 16S-23S intergenic spacer region". The record is from RNAcentral. Lineage: Bacteria; Pseudomonadati; Gemmatimonadota; Gemmatimonadia; Gemmatimonadales; Gemmatimonadaceae.